This 292-nucleotide small RNA is filed under the name Pongo abelii (Sumatran orangutan). RNAcentral describes it as "retained intron". The record is from RNAcentral. Lineage: Eukaryota; Metazoa; Chordata; Mammalia; Primates; Hominidae.
GCCUACUCAACCUGCAAGGAAGAGAUGUCAAGUCAUGUUGAAUCAUAACUUCUGGUUGCAGCUUUCUUUGUUUUGUUUGUUUGUGUGUGUGUGUGUGUAUUUACUUAAAUGGAGCUUUUUGUUUCUAAUCCAAAUAUUUAUUUUUUCUCUGCAGAUGGUGGUAUGGUACCUAUUUCAGAUUGUUUCAGCAGUGAGCUGCAUCCAUAAAGCUGGAAUCCUUCAUAGAGAUAUAAAGACAUUAAAUAUUUUUCUGACCAAGGCAAACCUGAUAAAACUUGGAGAUUAUGGCCUA